Molecule: transfer-messenger RNA, 184 nt
Filed under: Janthinobacterium sp. KBS0711
Lineage: Bacteria; Pseudomonadati; Pseudomonadota; Betaproteobacteria; Burkholderiales; Oxalobacteraceae
Rfam family: transfer-messenger RNA
About the family: Bacterial tmRNA, also known as 10Sa RNA or SsrA, is named for its dual tRNA and mRNA-like properties. Its role is to liberate the mRNA from a stalled ribosome. To accomplish this part of the tmRNA is used as a reading frame that ends in a translation stop signal.
Source: Rfam by way of RNAcentral
GGGGACGACCUGGUUUCGACGUGGGUUGCAAAGCAGCGCAGGGCAUACCGAGGGCGGGCUACCUCGUAAAUACAACCUGAAAAAACUUAACUGCAAACGAUAACUCGUACGCACUGGCAGCUUAAUCGCUGUUAGCUCUAGAACACCUCGUCCCUGGGGUGGGCCGUCAAAAGCUCUAGAGUCA